This 148-nucleotide small RNA is filed under the name Pongo abelii (Sumatran orangutan). Its description in RNAcentral is "Metazoan signal recognition particle RNA (ENSPPYG00000039687.1)". Lineage: Eukaryota; Metazoa; Chordata; Mammalia; Primates; Hominidae. The record is from Rfam by way of RNAcentral.
GCCGGGCGUGGUGGUGGGCGCCUGUGAUCCCAGCUACUCAGGAGGCUGAGGCAGGAGAAUCGCUUGAACCCGGGAGGCGGUGGUUGCAGUGAGCCGAGAUCGAGCCACUGCACUCCAACCUGGGUGACAGAGCGAGACUCCGUCUCAA